GAUGAACGCUGACAGGAUGCUUAACACAUGCAAGUCUACUUGAACUUCGGUUUGGGUGGCGGACGGGUGAGUAACGCGUAAAGAACUUGCCUCACAGUUAGGGACAACAUUUGGAAACGAAUGCUAAUACCUGAUAUUAUGAUUUUAGGGCAUCCUAAGAUUAUGAAAGCUAUAUGCGCUGUGAGAGAGCUUUGCGUCCCAUUAGCUAGUUGGAGAGGUAACGGCUCACCAAGGCGAUGAUGGGUAGCCGGCCUGAGAGGGUGAACGGCCACAAGGGGACUGAGACACGGCCCUUACUCCUACGGGAGGCAGCAGUGGGGAAUAUUGGACAAUGGACCAAAAGUCUGAUCCAGCAAUUCUGUGUGCACGAUGACGUUUUUCGGAAUGUAAAGUGCUUUCAGUUGGGAAGAAAAAAAUGACGGUACCAACAGAAGAAGUGACGGCUAAAUACGUGCCAGCAGCCGCGGUAAUACGUAUGUCACAAGCGUUAUCCGGAUUUAUUGGGCGUAAAGCGCGUCUAGGUGGUUAUGUAAGUCUGAUGUGAAAAUGCAGGGCUCAACUCUGUAUUGCGUUGGAAACUGCAUGACUAGAGUACUGGAGAGGUAAGCGGAACUACAAGUGUAGAGGUGAAAUUCGUAGAUAUUUGUAGGAAUGCCGAUGGGGAAGCCAGCUUACUGGACAGAUACUGACGCUAAAGCGCGAAAGCGUGGGUAGCAAACAGG
Molecule: ribosomal RNA, 722 nt
Filed under: uncultured Fusobacterium sp.
Lineage: Bacteria; Fusobacteriati; Fusobacteriota; Fusobacteriia; Fusobacteriales; Fusobacteriaceae
Description: bacterial SSU rRNA
Rfam family: Bacterial small subunit ribosomal RNA
Source: RNAcentral